AUAGCUGGUCCUGCAUGGAACCCUGGGGUUUCAGGGUUAGGGGGCUUCAGAGCUCACUGAGGUCAAUCUCCCCAGGCUAUAGAUGAGAAAUCAGGACCAGGGAUGGGGAGGGAGCUGUCCUACCUUGGCUGCUCUCUGAGUCAGCCCCAUUGUCUCCCACCAAGCUCAGGGUGGCCUAGCCCUCCCUCCUAAACACCCUCUAAGUCACCUGGAUUCUGUCUGCCCACUGGCAGGCAGCCAUCCCCUCUGUGGCAUAGCAGGCACCGGGCAUGGAGAAAAUGAGUUCUUGGCAGAUACGGGU
This 301-nucleotide long non-coding RNA is filed under the name Homo sapiens (human). RNAcentral describes it as "non-protein coding lnc-CERK-5:3". Lineage: Eukaryota; Metazoa; Chordata; Mammalia; Primates; Hominidae. The record is from RNAcentral.